RNAcentral lists this unclassified non-coding RNA (333 nucleotides) under soil metagenome. RNAcentral describes it as "partial contains 5.8S ribosomal RNA, internal transcribed spacer 2, and large subunit ribosomal RNA". The stretch from base 1 to 120 matches the Rfam family "5.8S ribosomal RNA", at positions 35 to 154 of the family's 154-position model. The record is from RNAcentral.
GAUGAAGAACGUAGCGAAAUGCGAUAAGUAAUGUGAAUUGCAGAAUUCAGUGAAUCAUCGAAUCUUUGAACGCACAUUGCGCCCGCCAGUAUUCUGGCGGGCAUGCCUGUUCGAGCGUCAUUUCAACCAUCAAGCCCCCGGCUUGUGUUGGGGACCUGCGGCUGCCGCAGGCCCUGAAAAGCAGUGGCGGGCUCGCUGUCACACCGAGCGUAGUAGCAUACAUCUCGCUCUGGGCGUGCUGCGGGUUCCGGCCGUUAAACCACCUUCAUAACCCAAGGUUGACCUCGGAUCAGGUAGGAAGACCCGCUGAACUUAAGCAUAUCAAGCGGAGGA